GCCGGGUGUGGUGCUGCGCACCUGUAAUCCCAGCUCCUCAGGAGGCUGAGGCAGGAGACUCGCUUGAACUCGGGGGGCAGAGGUUGCAGUGAGCUGAGAUUGCACCACUGCACUCCAGCCUGGGUGACAGAGUGAGACUCUGUCUCAA
This is a non-coding RNA of Homo sapiens (human), 148 nucleotides long. It matches the Rfam family "Metazoan signal recognition particle RNA". From Rfam's summary of the family: The signal recognition particle (SRP) is a universally conserved ribonucleoprotein. It is involved in the co-translational targeting of proteins to membranes. The eukaryotic SRP consists of a 300-nucleotide 7S RNA and six proteins: SRPs 72, 68, 54, 19, 14, and 9. The record is from Rfam. NCBI's taxonomy places the organism in Eukaryota, Metazoa, Chordata, Mammalia, Primates, Hominidae.